This 534-nucleotide ribosomal RNA is filed under the name uncultured bacterium. Its description in RNAcentral is "bacterial SSU rRNA". It matches the Rfam family "Bacterial small subunit ribosomal RNA", at positions 345 to 879 of the family's 1533-position model. The record is from RNAcentral.
GAGGCAGCGGAGAGGAAUAUUGGACAAUGGAUGGAAAUCUGAUCCAGCCAUGCCGCGUGCAGGAAGACGGUCCUAUGGAUUGUAAACUGCUUUUCUAUGAGAGCAAUAAGGUCUACGUGUAGACUGAUGAGAGUAUCAUAGGAAUAAGCACCGGCUAACUCCGUGCCAGCAGCCGCGGUAAUACGGAGGGUGCAAGCGUUAUCCGGAUUUAUUGGGUUUAAAGGGUGCGUAGGCGGAUUGUUAAGUCAGCGGUGAAAUUUUUCGGCUCAACCGGAACAUUGCCGUUGAUACUGGCUAUCUAGAAUAUGGUUGCUGUGAGUAGAAUGUGUGGUGUAGCGGUGAAAUGCAUAGAUAUCACACGGAAUACCGAUUGCGAAGGCAUCUCACAAAGCCACUAUUGACGCUGAGGCACGAAAGUGUGGGGAUCGAACAGGAUUAGAUACCCUGGUAGUCCACACUGUAAACGAUGAUAACUAGCUGUUGGCGAUACACCGUCAGUGGCCCAGCGAAAGCGAUAAGUUAUCCACCUGGGGA